Molecule: non-coding RNA, 103 nt
Organism: Chelonoidis abingdonii (Abingdon island giant tortoise)
Lineage: Eukaryota; Metazoa; Chordata; Testudines; Testudinidae
Source: RefSeq, a predicted model, not a curated record
CAGCAGAAUGUGAUGUGACAUGAUUUUGCUGAGGCUUUUGACACAGUCCUAUGUGACAGUCUCAUAAGAAAAACUAGGGAAAUGUGAUCUAGAUGAAUUUACU